This 372-nucleotide ribosomal RNA is filed under the name Triticum aestivum (bread wheat). Its description in RNAcentral is "partial small subunit ribosomal RNA". Lineage: Eukaryota; Viridiplantae; Streptophyta; Magnoliopsida; Poales; Poaceae. The record is from RNAcentral.
GUUAUUGAAGAGCUUUUGGAUGAACUCCAUGGUGCCGCUUGGUUCUCCAAGCUAGACCUUCGAGCAGGCUAUCAUCAAAUCCGUUUGGCCCCAGUGGAAGAAUACAAGACGGCAUUCCAAACACAUCAAGGGCAUUUUGAAUUCAAGGUGGUUUCAUUUGGCCUUGCUGGUUCUCCAGCAACUUUCAUCGGAGCAGUCACCACAACUCUCAAACCUGUCAAUCGCGUCUGCGUCGUAUCCGUCUUUGAUGACAUUCUGGUUUUCAGUGUUUCUCUUGAAGAACAUUUGAUCCACUUGCUUCAGGUUUUGGGGCUACUGCGCAAGGAUAGUUGGAAGGCCAAGAUGAGCAAAUGUGUUUUUGGACAGCAGCAA